CCUACGGGAGGCAGCAGUGAGGAAUAUUGGUCAAUGGACGAGAGUCUGAACCAGCCAAGUAGCGUGAAGGAUGACUGCCCUAUGGGUUGUAAACUUCUUUUAUAUGGGAAUAAAAUGUUCCACGUGUGGGAUUUUGUAUGUACCAUAUGAAUAAGGAUCGGCUCACUCCGUGCCAGCAGCCGCGGUAAUACGGAGGAUCCGAGCUUUAUCCGGUUUGAUUGGGUUUAAAGGGAGCGUAGGUGGAUUGUUAAGUCAGUUGUGAAAGUUUGCGGAUCAACCGUAAAAUUGCAGUUGAAACUGGCAGUCUUGAGUACAGUAGAGGUGGGCGGAAUUCGUGGUGUAGCGGUGAAAUGCUUAGAUAUCACGAAGAACUCCGAUUGCGAAGGCAGCUCACUGGACUGCAACUGACACUGAGGCUCGAAAGUGUGGGUAUCAAACAGGAUUAGAUACCCGGGUAGUC
RNAcentral lists this ribosomal RNA (460 nucleotides) under uncultured bacterium. Its description in RNAcentral is "partial 16S ribosomal RNA". It matches the Rfam family "Bacterial small subunit ribosomal RNA", at positions 338 to 795 of the family's 1533-position model. The record is from RNAcentral.